AGAGUUUGAUCCUGGCUCAGAUUGAACGCUGGCGGCAGGCCUAACACAUGCAAGUCGAGCGGUAGCACAGAGAGCUUGCUCUCGGGUGACGAGCGGCGGACGGGUGAGUAAUGUCUGGGAAACUGCCUGAUGGAGGGGGAUAACUACUGGAAACGGUAGCUAAUACCGCAUAACGUCGCAAGACCAAAGUGGGGGACCUUCGGGCCUCAUGCCAUCAGAUGUGCCCAGAUGGGAUUAGCUAGUAGGUGGGGUAACGGCUCACCUAGGCGACGAUCCCUAGCUGGUCUGAGAGGAUGACCAGCCACACUGGAACUGAGACACGGUCCAGACUCCUACGGGAGGCAGCAGUGGGGAAUAUUGCACAAUGGGCGCAAGCCUGAUGCAGCCAUGCCGCGUGUGUGAAGAAGGCCUUCGGGUUGUAAAGCACUUUCAGCGGGGAGGAAGGCGGUGAGGUUAAUAACCUCACCGAUUGACGUUACCCGCAGAAGAAGCACCGGCUAACUCCGUGCCAGCAGCCGCGGUAAUACGGAGGGUGCAAGCGUUAAUCGGAAUUACUGGGCGUAAAGCGCACGCAGGCGGUCUGUCAAGUCGGAUGUGAAAUCCCCGGGCUCAACCUGGGAACUGCAUUCGAAACUGGCAGGCUAGAGUCUUGUAGAGGGGGGUAGAAUUCCAGGUGUAGCGGUGAAAUGCGUAGAGAUCUGGAGGAAUACCAAUGCGUAGAGAUCUGGAGGAAUACCGGUGGCGAAGGCGGCCCCCUGGACAAAGACUGACGCUCAGGUGCGAAAGCGUGGGGAGCAAACAGGAUUAGAUACCCUGGUAGUCCACGCUGUAACGAUGUCGAUUUGGAGGUUGUGCCCUUGAGGCGUGGCUUCCGGAGCUAACGCGUUAAAUCGACCGCCUGGGGAGUACGGCCGCAAGGUUAAAACUCAAAUGAAUUGACGGGGGCCCGCACAAGCGGUGGAGCAUGUGGUUUAAUUCGAUGCAACGCGAAGAACCUUACCUGGUCUUGACAUCCACAGAACUUUCCAGAGAUGGAUUGGUGCCUUCGGGAACUGUGAGACAGGUGCUGCAUGGCUGUCGUCAGCUCGUGUUGUGAAAUGUUGGGUUAAGUCCCGCAACGAGCGCAACCCUUAUCCUUUGUUGCCAGCGGUUAGGCCGGGAACUCAAGGGGGAGUGCCAGUGAUAAACUGGAGGAAGGUGGGGAUGACGUCAAGUCAUCAUGGCCCUUACGACCAGGGCUACACACGUGCUACAAUGGCAUAUACAAAGAGAAGCGACCUCGCGAGAGCAAGCGGACCUCAUAAAGUAUGUCGUAGUCCGGAUUGGAGUCUGCAACUCGACUCCAUGAAGUCGGAAUCGCUAGUAAUCGUAGAUCAGAAUGCUACGGUGAAUACGUUCCCGGGCCUUGUACACACCGCCCGUCACACCAUGGGAGUGGGUUGCAAAAGAAGUAGGUAGCUUAACCUUCGGGAGGGCGCUUACCACUUUGUGAUUCAUGACUGGGGUGAAGUCGUAACAAGGUAGCCGU
RNAcentral lists this ribosomal RNA (1528 nucleotides) under Klebsiella sp. OR7. RNAcentral describes it as "bacterial SSU rRNA". It matches the Rfam family "Bacterial small subunit ribosomal RNA". The record is from RNAcentral. Lineage: Bacteria; Pseudomonadati; Pseudomonadota; Gammaproteobacteria; Enterobacterales; Enterobacteriaceae.